UACCUAUAUAACUACCUACUAUAUAACUACCUACUAUAUAACUACCUACUAUAUAACUACCUACUAUAUAACUACCUAUAUAACUACCUACUCGGUCACACGGAACACACAGUCCUGUUUUCUUAUUCUAGUUAUUAGGAGAGUGUUAUAGUUCAUGUUUGAUUUUAUUUAUUUUUCAUGCAUUUACAUGCACGCUAGUAGUCCAUGAGCCAGGGGGCCUGUCGGGCUCACCUGGGCAGAGGGUUAUAGACUGGUUAUAGACUGGUUAUAGACUGGUUAUAGACUGGGUUAUAGACUGGGUUAUAGACUGGUUAUAGACUGGUUAUAGACUGGUUAUAGACUGGUUAUAGACUGGUUAUAGACUGGUUAUAGACUGGGUUAUAGACUGGUUAUAGACUGGGUUAUAGACAGGGUUAUAGACAGGGUUAUAGACAGGGUUAUAGAGGGUUUAGGCUAGGGAUAGGAUACAGGGUUAUAGACAGGGUUAUAGACCAGGGUUAUAGACAGGGUUAUAGAGGGUUUAGGCUAGGGAUAGGAUACAGGGUUAUAGACAGGGUUAUAGACAGAGUUAUAGACAGGGUUAUAGGCAGGGUUAUCGAGGUUAUAGACAGAAUUAUAGACAGGGUUAUAGGGGUUUUAGGCUAGGGAUAGGAUACAGGGUUAUAGACAGGGUUAUAGACAGGGUUAUAGAGGGUUUAGGCUAGGGAUAGGAUACAGGGUUAUAGACAGGGUUAUAGACAGAGUUAUAGACAGGGUUAUAGGGGGUUUAGGCUAGGGCUAGGAUACAGGGUUAUAGACAGGGUUAUAGACAGGGUUAUAGACAGGAUUAUAGACAGGGUUAUAGACAGGGUUAUAGACAGGGUUAUAUGCAGGGUUAUAUGCAGGGUUAUAUGCAGGGUUAUAGAGGUUCUAGGCAGGGUUAUAGAGGUUCUAGGCUAGGGACAGGAUAUAUGUUAUAGACAGGGUUAUAUGCAGGGUUAUUAUAGACAGGGUUAUAGUAGAGGUAUACUCAGUAGCAAGCUGACCCAGCUAAUUAGUUAGGUAGUGUAUACCCAGUAGCCAGUAGUUAGCUGACCUAGCUUAUUAGUUAGGUAGUGUAUACCCAGUAGUUAGCUGACCUAGCUAAUUAGUUAGGUAGUGUAUACCCAGUAGUUAGCUGACCUAGCUAAUUAGUUAGGUAGUGUAUACCCAGUAGUUAGCUGACCUAGCUAAUUAGUUAGGUAGUGUAUACCCAGUAGCCAGUAGUUAGCUGAACUAGCUAAUUAGUUAGGUAGUGUAUACCCAGUAGUAAGCUGACCCAGCUAAUUAGUUAGGUAGUGUAUACCCAGUAGUUAGCUGACCUAGCUAAUUAGUUAGGUAGUGUAUACCCAGUAGCCAGUAGUAAGCAUACCUAGCUAAUUAGUUAGGUAGUGUAUACCCAGUAGUUAGCUGACCCAGCUAAUUAGUUAGGUAGUGUAUACCCA
This 1463-nucleotide long non-coding RNA is filed under the name Salmo salar (Atlantic salmon). Its description in RNAcentral is "lncRNA (ENSSSAG00000108218.1)". Lineage: Eukaryota; Metazoa; Chordata; Actinopteri; Salmoniformes; Salmonidae. The record is from RNAcentral.